ACACCUGCUGGUCUCACCGCUAGGGCCUGGGCAUCACAGGCAGGGGGAAUGGGGAGGGGACGGUAGCGUCAGCCUACACCCACACGCAGUUUCCUGAUAAAAGGUCCUUUGGAAACUUUGAUUCUCUUCUCACCAAGUUGAACGGAGAUGUGUUCCCAUAGUAAGAGUGAGGCCCCUGCAUUUGCUGCCCUCGGUUUUCCCAACUAACACCAGGGCCUCCCCCCUGUACCCCAUUCAUAUGCCUCAGAAGCUGACAAUGACUGUUGGGCUUUUCCAAUGAAUACCAGAACACCAUUUCCUGCAGCCUGAAAAGAAGACAGUAUAAUUGUUUGGCAGCAAGAGAAUCCAGGUGCCCUUCCAUGAGAAGCCCAAGCCAUGUGGAGAAGCCACGUCUAGGGACUCCAGUUAACACUCUCAGCUGAGUCCCCAGCUGACAGUCAGCAUCAACUGCCAGCCACCUCUGUCUAAAAGUGGGCUAUCUUGGGCAUCCAGCCCAGUCAAGCCUUCAGAUGAGUCCAGUCCCAGCCACUAUCUCACACAACCACACGAGAGACAUCAAGAACUCCCAGUGGAGUCCAGUCAGCCCAUGGAACUGCAAGAGACAGGAUCUCGCUGCGUUGCUCAGACUGGUCUCGAACUCCUGGGCUUAAGGGAUUCUCCUGCCUCAAUCACAGCCUCCCAAGUAGCUGAGAUUAAAAGUGCUCACCACCGUGCCAGCGAGUUCAGUUUUUGAGAUAAGGGGAAAUUGGAGCUCAGAGAUUUAAGCCACCUGCCAGAGGUCACAUGGCCCAUAAAAGAUCUGUCCCAUUCCACCAAGGAUUUAAGGCUAAAGAUUUAAGUUGUGAAGAUGAUAAUGGAUUGACUCUAUGAAUGGCCACAUUUUUUUAUGCCUCCCUUUUCCCUUGUCCUCGGGCAGUGUCCUCCGACACUGACUCUGUGCUUGGCCCUGUGACUUGCUUUGGCCAAUGGUACAGCAGCAAACUUGAUGCAAACACAACUUGAAAAAGAAGAGGACAGCCAAGUCAUCCCAGCCAAGGCCACCCUGGACCAGCCAGCCUCUUGCCAAGCUGCCAGUGACCACAGAGUCCAAUUAACAACAGCCAGUCCUGGCCCAGGGUGGAGCCAAGACUCUGAGGAGAGGGCUGAACUGUGAACCUAGAAGUACCAUCUCCCCCUGCACACACCUUUGGUCAAGUUGACCCCAAGAAGAAGGACAAGUCCUCUGCACGGCGAUGAGGCCAUACACACAGUCUGUGGCCCGGCUUUGGGAGACUGAUGGGACAAAGGAUGUUUUGCACGAUCCUUGGUCUCUGAGCAAAUAUAUACAUGGGUUAACACAAA
This 1341-nucleotide long non-coding RNA is filed under the name Homo sapiens (human). RNAcentral's name for it is "novel transcript". Lineage: Eukaryota; Metazoa; Chordata; Mammalia; Primates; Hominidae. The record is from RNAcentral.